This 74-nucleotide transfer RNA is filed under the name Bacilli bacterium. Its description in RNAcentral is "tRNA-Thr". It matches the Rfam family "tRNA". Rfam says of the family: Transfer RNA (tRNA) molecules are approximately 80 nucleotides in length. Lineage: Bacteria; Bacillati; Bacillota; Bacilli. The record is from RNAcentral. RNAcentral also lists the same sequence under 1 other name.
GCCUCCUUAGUUAAGUGGUAUAACGGAUCCAUGGUAAGGAUCUAUUGGUGGUCCGAUUCCGCCAGGAGGCACCA